GCUAAUACAACAUCUGGUCAACAUCUGACAGAAUACGAGUUAUGCAUGAAGGAAUCUCCAGACAGCAGCCAAAAUGCAGCAACUUCAGGCACGGCAGAGAAAGAACAGUCACAGC
This is a long non-coding RNA of Etheostoma cragini (Arkansas darter), 115 nucleotides long. RefSeq lists it as uncharacterized. The record is from RefSeq and is a predicted model, not a curated record. The transcript is spliced from 3 exons. Lineage: Eukaryota; Metazoa; Chordata; Actinopteri; Perciformes; Percidae.